AUGUCUGUGGUCCAGAGGCAGCAGCUGGGCACCAAUGUGGAGAUGGAGAUAGCCAAAAUGUUGGAGGAGAACAACAGCAUCGUGAAGUUUGGCUACCACUUCACCAAGCAGGGACCACGCUCCAGAGCUGCUUCUGCCAUCACCAAGAACAAUGACCUGAUCCGCAGGAGGCGAGUGGAACAGGAAGUGUAGGCCUUCAUCUCACCUGUGGAAUCCUAAGUCCUACCUGUCUCAUCUCAGCGUGUGGAAGAAGUCUUGUGCCAAACUGCUGACUCCACAAGAAGGUAGAAGAGGAAUAACUGGAAUCAUUUGCUUUUUAGUCUUUUUUCAGCCUUGACUCUGUCCAGACUUUUUACUUUUUUACCAUACCGUCAUUGUGCUAACUCACCUGCCCAAAGCUGGGACCUCCCCCUCUUACCUUUGUUACACCUUUAGCAGUUACAAAAGAUGCUGACUCAGCAGUCAAUAAAUGUUUGCUAUUUCUAAAUGUUGACUAUCACCUGUAUCACAACUGUCAUUCAGUAAUGACAUGAUUAGUCAGAGGUGACUAACCCUAACCCAGAAUGGUGUGACCCAGAUGAUGUUCAACAUGCCAAAGACCAACACAUUUUGGACCUCCUAUUAUUCAUGCUGCAGGUCUUCACAAAUACUUAAUAAAAACUGUUCCAAUUCUCUGUC
Nerophis lumbriciformis (worm pipefish) is the source of this 678-nucleotide non-coding RNA. The record is from RefSeq and is a predicted model, not a curated record. Lineage: Eukaryota; Metazoa; Chordata; Actinopteri; Syngnathiformes; Syngnathidae.